This 3595-nucleotide long non-coding RNA is filed under the name Lotus japonicus. RNAcentral's name for it is "long non-coding RNA (LJAP_LNC001953)". Lineage: Eukaryota; Viridiplantae; Streptophyta; Magnoliopsida; Fabales; Fabaceae. The record is from RNAcentral.
CAAAUAUGUUUUCAUACACAAGAAUGAAGAAUGAGAUCCAACUUAAAAUACCAAAUAAAUUUUUAUUCCGUAUUUUCAAACGGUGAAUGCACGAGCCCCCCUCCACCUGAGCUUCUUCACAGCGGCGUCUUCCUCCACCGCUCACCGUCACUUCGGCCCUGCUCAGCCGGUAAGUCUUGCUCUUAUCUUCUUCAUCUUUACUCUGUUCCUUUCUCGAAUAGAUAACAUUCAAUCAAAUUGGAACUUGAAGUUCUUAUAAAUUGGAUGUUCAUGUAGAUCUGUAGAUGUUUAAUUCACUGUGUUUGUUCCAAUAAAUGAGUUUUGUUACUUCGCAAUGACAGGGAUCUAUCUGUAUUCUGUAUUCAACAUUGAAUUGAAUUGAAUUGAAUUGAAUUCCAUGAAAGUUUCAGCAAUUCAUUGUGCCAGGCACAAGCCCCAUAACUGUGUCACCUCAUUUCAAUUUUCCUCCUCCUCAUCUUCGUUGCCAUGGAUAUCUCCCCUUAACUUUACAAAACCUGCAAAACCUAAACCAGACCCUCCUCCUGAAUUCACUGUCACUCCCGCUGAGCCUCGGAAGAAGCACAAAUAUAUCACUCAUGACUCUGCAAUCAAUUUGAUCAAGCGAGAGAAAGAUCCGCAACAUGCCUUGAAAAUAUUCAACAUGGUAUCAGAACAAAAGGGUUUUAAUCACAACAACGCAACAUAUGCCACGAUUCUCCAAAAGCUCGCUGAGUCUAAGAAGUUUCAAGCCGUGGAUCGAGUUCUGCAUCAGAUGACAUAUGAAACUUGCAAAUUUCAUGAGGGUAUAUUUAUACACCUCAUGAAGCAUUUCUCAAAGUCCUCUCUUCAUGAGAAAGUGCUUCAGUUAUUUUUAUCCAUUCAGCCGAUAGUUCGUGAAAAGCCCUCUCCUGAAGCGGUCAGCACUUGUCUCAAUCUCCUGGUUGAUUCUAACCAGGUUGAUUUGGCACGAAAGUUGCUCUUGCAUGCCAAGAGAAGUCUAACACAAAAGCCAAACGUCUGCAUACUUAAUAUCUUGGUGAAAUACCACUGCAAAAAUGGGGAUCUUGACUCUGCAUUUGAAGUUGUAAAAGAAAUGAGGAACAACAAGUCAUCCUACCCGAAUAUAAUUACAUACUCAACCCUGAUGGAUGGCCUCUGUCAAAAUGGAAGACUCAAAGAAGCUUUUGAACUUUUUGAGGAAAUGGUGUCAAGGGAAGGGAUCAUGCCUGAUCCCCUCACUUACAAUGUUUUGAUCAAUGGAUUUUGCCGGGAAGGUAAACCCGGUCGUGCUAGAAAUGUAAUUGAGUUUAUGAAAAGUAAUGGAUGCCGACCAAAUGUAAUUAAUUACUCAGCGCUGGUGAAUGGCUUAUGUAAAGUGGGGAAAAUUCAAGAUGCAAAAGAGGUUUUUGCGGAGAUGAAGAGCUCUGGUUUGAAACCUGAUACAUUUAGCUACACUACUUUGAUUGAUUUUUUCAGUAGGAAUGGGCAAAUUGAUGAAGCUAUUAGGUUGCUUAAAGAAAUGAAGGAAAAUGAAUGCCGGGCUGAUACUGUUACAUUCAAUGUUAUUCUUGGAGGCCUGUGCAGAGAAGGCAGAGUUGAGGAGGCUCUGGGUAUGCUUGAGACACUUCCGCACCAGGGUUUCUAUUUGAACAAAGCUAGCUACAGGAUUGUCCUCAAUUCCUUGACUAAAAAAUGUGAAUUGAAAAAGGCAAAGAGCUUAUUGGAGCUAAUGCUAGGUAGGGGUUUUUUACCCCAUUAUGCUACCUCAAAUGAAUUAUUAGUUAAUCUUUGUAAGGCAGGAAUGGUUGAUGCUGCUGCUGCGGCACUGUUUGACUUGGUGGAGAUGGGGUUCAAGCCAGGACUUGAUUCUUGGGAAAUUUUAAUUCAAUUAAUCUGCAGAGACAGAAAGUUAUUGCAUGUUUUUGAGUUGCUUGAUGAAUUAGUGAUCACAAAUUCUUGAUAUUUUCAUUAUGAGCAGAAAUAAUGGGUUUCACAAGCAUUUGCUGCUUAAAAUUCUUCACUUGAUGCAAAUGAUGAUACAAGUUAUUCAGAUAAAACUGGUAUGCGGUUGUUGAAACUUCAUGUACCAGCUUCAACAGGCAUUCUUUUCAUCAAUAAGUCCAACAGGAAAUUUCAUGUAUCUGCUUCAUGUCUGGUCGUCAUUCUUUUCAACAAUGAACAUAGUAGCUUUCAUUCAUUGUUUGCUAUUACAAGAUGUCCCAAAAGUUGUGCCUAAAAGAAAGACUCAGGCCCACUGAACGAGGUUUUCCUUUCCCUGCAAAUAUUUUGUUGCAGAUGAUGACUUCAUUGUACUUUAUUCUGUAAUCUACUCGAUGACAAACAAUGAAUAAAAAUGAAUGAAACAACACUACGAAGUGUGUGAAUUGAUACCUUUGUUUUUCUUUUUGGGUUGAAGAGUAUGAUAUGAUACUAAACAUGAAAAUUUUACUACACUCAAAGCAUCCAGCUUACUGGAUCAAAAACCAUACCUAUUGAUGCAACAGCUCAAGGGAUUUCUGCAAUGUUGGCCUAAACCUAUUAACAUCAAGCCUUACAUUUUGUUUAUCCAAAUACACAGACCUAAAUGCUUCCCAUCCUAGUUUCCCAAUUGAUGACGGAUCCUUUAUGACCAUAUGAUCUCGGGGGUAUUGUUGAAUAAGAGUGCUUUCUUCCAACUGUAUUUUGUAUUCCAAGUAUUUGAUGUUCAUAUCCUCUGAGGGCUCUCCAAAGUCAUUGGUGGCAAGCCAUUCCACUCCACCAUAAGGCACAACUUGGAUGAAAAUUGCAUUUUCUGGAAGGAAAAGUAUGUUAGUGAGACCAGCACCAUGAACUCCCAGUAGGACAUCACAAGAAUUCACAACUUGUGCAAAGCUUUUCAUGCUCCCCCCUGCCUCCAUAACAAUGACACUGAAACCCAUGCCUUUAGCCAAUCUCGCUAUUUGAGCUGCAUUGGUGAAGGAUCUUGAUCUUUUUCUUGAAAGAAUCAGGAGCCUGGGCUUCUUACGUUGACUACCUCUGAUUCUGGUUGCUUUAACUCUCUUCAAUGAAUAGGAACUUCUCAAAAAAUCCCUGAAGUCUUUCAUUGAAUAGGAAUACUUUUGAGGGUCAAUGCUUAGCUCUUUAUGAUACCUUUUGAGACCCACAUUCACCCUUGGGAAGCAAUGUACUUCCUCGUCACUGUCAAUGUCCAUAAUCUCAUAGUUGGACAGCUUUUUAAGAAAUGCUUGGUGCUUUAAAAUCCACCAAUGCCUCUUAUCAGUUAUGAUAAAUUGUACUUCUCCUUUGAAUUGUCUAGAAGUCAAAAACAAUGGAAUAACAACGUCAGUGAAUUCAUGGAAGUUGUUGCCAGUAUACCCUGCUGUGGAAAAUAUUACUGCUGGAAUACUGUGAUUUUGGGUGCACUGGGGGAUUCCCUGGCUUACUUCUAUUGGUUUCACUGACCAUUUUCUUACACUACUCAUUGCAGCUGCAUCACUCGUCCGAGCAUAAGGCCUUAUACUCCAUGAGAUGUUUUCUGCCAAAAUGGUUGUUUUAGGUGACACGACGUAGACAGAGGAGGAUUUUCCAUGCACUCGGACAUCUCCCUGGGUUUGGC